This 946-nucleotide long non-coding RNA is filed under the name Salmo salar (Atlantic salmon). RNAcentral's name for it is "lncRNA (ENSSSAG00000092423.1)". The record is from RNAcentral. Lineage: Eukaryota; Metazoa; Chordata; Actinopteri; Salmoniformes; Salmonidae.
AGAUGGCAGGUUGAAUAAAGAGAAGCUAGUGAUGUGGGGGUUCUCUCAUAACCCUCAGUCCCCAGGUGGGUAGAUGGCAGGUUGAAUAAAGAGAAGCUAGUGAUGUGGGGGUUCUCUCAUAACCCUCAGUCCCCAGGUGGGUAGAUGGCAGGUUGAAUAAAGAGAAGCUAGUGAUGUGGGGGUUCUCUCAUAACCCUCAAUCAUAAAUGUAUAAUUAUUAUGUAAUUUACACAAAACAUUAAGGACACCUUUUCUUUCCAUGACAAACUGACCAGGCGUAACUCAAUAUUAGGAAGGUAUCCUUAAUAUUUUGUCCACUCAGUGGCUCUGACCCUUUACGUAACAGUCAAUCCUCUUUUCCAGGAAACCUUCCUUAAAUUUCCCCAAAUACUUCCACACUAACCCUCAGUCCCCAGGUGGGUAGAUGGCAGGUUGAAUAAAUAGAAAACAAUAGGCUACAUAAAACAAUCCAUAAAUGUAUAACUAUUAUGUAAUUUACACAAAACAUUAAGGACACCUUUCUUUCCAUGACAAACUGACCAGGUGUAACUCAAUAUUAGGAAGGUAUCCUUAAUAUUUUGUCCACUCAGUGGCUCUGACCCUUUACAUAACAGUCAAUCCUCUUUUCCAGGAAACCUUCUUUAAAUUUCCCCAAAUACUUCCACAUUGAUACUCUCUCACUGCUGCUCCAGGGCCUCUUGGGUUGAGGAGUCAUUCUCUUCUAACCUGAUCACAGCUGCUCCAGGGCCUCUUGGGUUGAGGAGUCAUUCUCUUCUAACCUGAUCACAGCUGCUCCAGGGCCUCUUGGGUUGAGGAGUCAUUCUCUUCUAACCUGAUCACAGCUGCUCCAGGGCCUUUUGGGUUGAGGAGUCAUUCUCUUCUAACCUGAUCACAAACAAAGACAAGAUUCAAACAAAUAAACAUGAUGGUCCAACAUAAUGGGGGG